UACAGGGGGUGCAAACGUUGCUCGGAAUUAUUGGGCGUAAAGCGCGCGUAGGCGGCCAACUAAGUCGGAUGUGAAAUCCCCAGGCUUAACCUGGGAACUGCAUCCGAUACUGGAUGGCUUGAAUUCGGGAGAGGGAUGCGGAAUUCCAGGUGUAGCGGUGAAAUGCGUAGAUAUCUGGAGGAACACCGGUGGCGAAGGCGGCAUCCUGGACCAAUAUUGACGCUGAGGAGCGAAAGCCAGGGGAGCAAACGGG
RNAcentral lists this ribosomal RNA (253 nucleotides) under uncultured bacterium. RNAcentral's name for it is "partial 16S ribosomal RNA". It matches the Rfam family "Bacterial small subunit ribosomal RNA", at positions 524 to 776 of the family's 1533-position model. The record is from RNAcentral.